RNAcentral lists this ribosomal RNA (820 nucleotides) under uncultured bacterium. RNAcentral's name for it is "partial 16S ribosomal RNA". It matches the Rfam family "Bacterial small subunit ribosomal RNA", at positions 57 to 879 of the family's 1533-position model. The record is from RNAcentral.
GCAAGCCGAGCGGUAGGGUUUCUUCGGAAACCUGAGAGCGGCGCACGGGUGCGGAACACGUGUGCAACCUACCUUUAUCAGGGGGAUAGCCUUUCGAAAGGAAGAUUAAUACCCCAUAAUAUAUUAGAUGGCAUCAUUUGAUAUUGAAAACUCCGGUGGAUAGAGAUGGGCACGCGCAAGAUUAGAUAGUUGGUGAGGUAACGGCUCACCAAGUCAGUGAUCUUUAGGGGGCCUGAGAGGGUGAUCCCCCACACUGGUACUGAGACACGGACCAGACUCCUACGGGAGGCAGCAGUGAGGAAUAUUGGACAAUGGGUGAGAGCCUGAUCCAGCCAUCCCGCGUGAAGGAUGACGGCCCUAUGGGUUGUAAACUUCUUUUGUAUAGGGAUAAACCUUUCCACGUGUGGAAAGCUGAAGGUACUAUACGAAUAAGCACCGGCUAACUCCGUGCCAGCAGCCGCGGUAAUACGGAGGAUCCAAGCGUUAUCCGGAUUUAUUGGGUUUAAAGGGUGCGUAGGCGGCCUGUUAAGUCAGAGGUGAAAGACGGUAGCUCAACUAUCGCAGUGCCWUUGAUACUGMWGGKCUUGARURRRSUAGARGURGSYGGAAURAGWMRWGUAGCGGUGAAAUGCAUAGAUAUKWCUYAGAACACCRAUUGCGAAGGCAGSUYACUAUGKYUUWAYUGACGCUGAKGSACGAAAGCGUGGGGAGCGAACAGGAUUAGAUACCCUGGCAGUCCACGCCGUAAACGAUGCUAACUCGUUUUUGGGUUUUUAAGAUUCAGAGACUAAGCGAAAGUGAUAAGUUAGCCACCUGGGGA